Molecule: ribosomal RNA, 468 nt
Filed under: uncultured bacterium
Lineage: Bacteria
Description: partial 16S ribosomal RNA
Rfam family: Bacterial small subunit ribosomal RNA
Source: RNAcentral
GACGAACGCUGGCGGCGUGCUUAACACAUGCAAGUCGAACGGAAAGGCCCUGCUUUUGUGGGGUGCUCGAGUGGCGAACGGGUGAGUAACACGUGAGUAACCUGCCCUUGACUUUGGGAUAACUUCAGGAAACUGGGGCUAAUACCGGAUAGGAGCUCCUGCUGCAUGGUGGGGGUUGGAAAGUUUCGGCGGUUGGGGAUGGACUCGCGGCUUAUCAGCUUGUUGGUGGGGUAGUGGCUUACCAAGGCUUUGACGGGUAGCCGGCCUGAGGGGGUGACCGGCCACAUUGGGACUGAGAUACGGCCCAGACUCCUACGGGAGGCAGCAGUGGGGAAUAUUGCACAAUGGGCGGAAGCCUGAUGCAGCAACGCCGCGUGCGGGAUGACGGCCUUCGGGUUGUAAACCGCUUUCGCCUGUAACGAAGCGUGAGUGACGGUAAUGGGUAAAGAAGCACCGGCUAACUACGUG